This 469-nucleotide ribosomal RNA is filed under the name uncultured bacterium. RNAcentral describes it as "partial 16S ribosomal RNA". It matches the Rfam family "Bacterial small subunit ribosomal RNA", at positions 28 to 508 of the family's 1533-position model. The record is from RNAcentral.
GACGAACGCUGGCGGCGUGCUUAACACAUGCAAGUCGAACGGAAAGGCCCUGCUUUUGUGGGGUGCUCGAGUGGCGAACGGGUGAGUAACACGUGAGUAACCUGCCCUUGACUUUGGGAUAACUUCAGGAAACUGGGGCUAAUACCGGAUAGGAGCUCCUGCUGCAUGGUGGGGGUUGGAAAGUUUCGGCGGUUGGGGAUGGACUCGCGGCUUAUCAGCUUGUUGGUGGGGUAGUGGCUUACCAAGGCUUUGACGGGUAGCCGGCCUGAGAGGGUGACCGGCCACAUUGGGACUGAGAUACGGCCCAGACGCCGACGGGAGGCAGCAGUGGGGAAUAUUGAACAAGGGGCGGAAGCCGGAUGCAGCAACGCCGCGUGCGGGAUGACGGCCUUCGGGUUGUAAACCGCUUUCGCCUGUGACGAAGCGUGAGUGACGGUAAUGGGUAAAGAAGCACCGGCUAACUACGUGC